AGUGAACGCUGGCGGUAGGCCUAACACAUGCAAGUCGAACGGCAGCACAGGAGAGCUUGCUCUCUGGGUGGCGAGUGGCGGACGGGUGAGGAAUACAUCGGAAUCUACUUUUUCGUGGGGGAUAACGUAGGGAAACUUAGGCUAAUACCGCAUACGACCUACGGGUGAAAGCAGGGGACCUUCGGGCCUUGCGCGAUUGAAUGAGCCGAUGUCGGAUGAGCUAGUUGGCGGGGUAAAGGCCCACCAAGGCGACGAUCCGUAGCUGGUCUGAGGGGAUGAUCAGCCACACUGGAACUGAGACACGGUCCAGACUCCUACGGGAGGCAGCAGUGGGGAAUAUUGGACAAUGGGCGCAAGCCUGAUCCAGCCAUACCGCGUGGGUGAAGAAGGCCUUCGGGUUGUAAAGCCCUUUUGUUGGGAAAGAAAUCCAGCCGGCUAAUACCUGGUUGGGAUGACGGUACCCAAAGAAUAAGCACCGGCUAACUUCGUGCCAGCCGCCGCAGUAA
Molecule: ribosomal RNA, 506 nt
Filed under: uncultured bacterium
Lineage: Bacteria
Description: partial 16S ribosomal RNA
Rfam family: Bacterial small subunit ribosomal RNA
Source: RNAcentral